UCAGAUAACUAGUGAGCUGUUAGACUAUGCUCUGAAAAUAUAUUUUAUGUUCAAUAACUACUCUUGUAUUUCGUGAUAGCAAAAUUCCAUGUUAUUAUUAGAUAAACUACCUGUACCCUGAUGGAUUGCUGUAAAACUCAAACGGAAAUUAACCGCCGGAUCCGAUGCCUUGCAAGCAAACUAAUUGAGAGCCGACAGCAGCGUUUACAAUUGUUGUUCGACGGUUUCCUUUGCUGUCUGGAGCUGGAGCACGAUUGGCCGCGCCUGAUGCACUUUGAGUUCGUAUGCAACUAGCUAAACUCACGAGCAUGGCGACAAUUAAAAGCCAGUAAAAAGCUGCUCAGCUGUGUUGCUUGGUAACUUAAUCACAUCAAAGGUCGAUCCCACUCCCUACUCCCAACCUCAACUGGCUGUGGUUAAUCCGAAAUACAUGUUAGGCAGAACUGGCUUGGA
This 453-nucleotide small RNA is filed under the name Drosophila virilis. Its description in RNAcentral is "GJ25697". The record is from RNAcentral. Lineage: Eukaryota; Metazoa; Arthropoda; Insecta; Diptera; Drosophilidae.